RNAcentral lists this ribosomal RNA (513 nucleotides) under Pediococcus parvulus. Its description in RNAcentral is "bacterial SSU rRNA". It matches the Rfam family "Bacterial small subunit ribosomal RNA", at positions 55 to 524 of the family's 1533-position model. Lineage: Bacteria; Bacillati; Bacillota; Bacilli; Lactobacillales; Lactobacillaceae. The record is from RNAcentral.
AUGCAGUCGAACGCACUUUCGUUGAUGAUUAGAGGUGCUUGCACCGWWKAUGAUUUUAGCUAUAAAGUGAGUGGCGAACGGGUGAGUAACACGUGGGUAACCUGCCCAGAAGUGGGGGAUAACACCUGGAAACAGAUGCUAAUACCGCAUAACAAAGUAAACCGCAUGGUUUACUUUUAAAAGAUGGCUUCGGCUAUCACUUCUGGAUGGACCCGCGGCGUAUUAGCUAGUUGGUGAGAUAAAGGCUCACCAAGGCAGUGAUACGUAGCCGACCUGAGAGGGUAAUCGGCCACAUUGGGACUGAGACACGGCCCAGACUCCUACGGGAGGCAGCAGUAGGGAAUCUUCCACAAUGGACGAAAGUCUGAUGGAGCAACKYYKCGUGAGUGAUGAAGGCUUUAGGGUCGUAAAACUCUGUUGUUGGAGAAGAACGUGUGUGAGAGUAACUGCUCAUGCAGUGACGGUAUCCAACCASAAAGCCACGGCUAACUACGUGCCAGCAGCCGCGGUAAA